CUCUCGCAGUCUCUCCUGUUACCAGUCAGAGUGACGUUGGACAGUUGAAGGAGUAGUCGCCAUUAUUAUAAAGACUAGGGAGUUAAACUCGGAUGCUAGGCUAGAGAACGCAAUUAUGGACUUUUUCACUUUCGGGCUAACCGUGAUUUGAUCAGGCUUGAGAAAAAUUACUAAUUAUUUAGGGUAUUCUCAGCCUCUAAUAUAUAUUAGUACGCGAUCAUCGAAUUUGAUUUGGCGCAUAAUCGACAAUGGAGUCUCACGUUUCACCUGUGACGAUCAUCACUACGAAUUUGCCGGUAGAUACGCCGCGUCUCACGCCAACGGGGAGGAUAAGCCAUGCAAAAACUCGAGUCUACACGCAGCGAUACAGAACAGAUUGGGAGAGAAUGCCAGAAUUUCGAGGGAUCGCAUGGAUCACCAAUCCAUUCUGUCGACAUGAUACGAGAUUCCCACAUUUAGUGUAAUAAAUUUUCUGCUUUUGUCCUGCCUAGUUACUAGUAUACUAAAUAUAGGAAUAAAAGAGAACUAGUACGAAUUUUGAAGUCGAACACACAAAGAAGAACUAGUUAUUUAGAACCUUCUCUUACUAGUAUGAUAGAUACAUAUACAAUAAAGCUACGUGCAAAAGAAUGGAAAAUAUUGUACAUUUAUAACAUGUAUGAGUAAUAUAGUUGUACGUAUGUAAAAACUAAACUGGCAUUGCUCUUGCUAUUAAAUUUUCUUGUUGUAUUGAACAAGAUAAAACAGUUUUAGUUAACAUAAGCCAUAUUAAUCUAACCAUAUUGAAAAUGUGCAUACAUUUCUUUCUUGCAACUCUUUAUUAAAGAGAGAUAAAAUGGCGGCAGAGAGAUAGCUGACAACUUUUUCAGAAAGCGGAAUCAUCUUGUAACAUAUCUAGAAAUUUCCAAGAGCAGAAUACAGUCUACUUUUUCUUCCCACUCUUGUUGGCAAGUUUCUCUUGCCAACUUUUCUCCUCUUUUGCAGUACAGCCAUGUUGGUAAAAGUGAUGGAGAUGGCUAACUUCGGUACCAUUUCAGCCAACUCGUGCUUAUUGUAAAUAUUGUAAAAAAAAUUUACAUGCACAUCGGUUAUCACUAUUGAAACAUACAUGCACAAUGAAGCAUCAGCGUUCAGCUUUGCAACACAAGGAGGA
Long non-coding RNA from Pseudomyrmex gracilis, 1153 nucleotides. RefSeq lists it as uncharacterized. NCBI's taxonomy places the organism in Eukaryota, Metazoa, Arthropoda, Insecta, Hymenoptera, Formicidae. The record is from RefSeq and is a predicted model, not a curated record. The transcript is spliced from 4 exons.